Long non-coding RNA from Vespa velutina, 6541 nucleotides. RefSeq lists it as uncharacterized. The transcript has 8 exons. Lineage: Eukaryota; Metazoa; Arthropoda; Insecta; Hymenoptera; Vespidae. The record is from RefSeq and is a predicted model, not a curated record.
AUCAGGUCAACAGAAAGGUAGUAGGGUUUACUUUCAAAGCUGUAAGUUCCCUCCUUUCAUCCCCACUAUCAGUAACGUGCAGCAUCCCUCGAAGCCACUCGGGUGCUUUCAUCCCCAACGAUGGCGACGCCCAGCGCCGUUUUCCGUGCGCAAUUUACAUCUCCUUUCGACGCAGACUCAACGACUCGUUACAGUUGACGCUUUCAGUGUUCCUACGUUACGUCAAUAAAACUCCACGAGGAAAUUCAGCAGUCACUCCAAAAAGUCAUAUGAAAUUCUACGUCCAUUCGAUUCUGAUUUCAAAGAUGAAGAGAGAAAGGCGCAGUUCGAUGGGAAGAAUUUCGAAAGAUUAAAGAUAUGGCGUUUAAUGUUCAACUCGAUAUACAUCUAAAUUUCCGAGGUACAGGAAUAUAAAGGAAGCGAAUAAAAUGGUCCCCCGAUUUGUGAAGGAGAGUAAGAGAGACACACACACACACAAAGAGAAAAAGAGAGAGAAAGAGAGAAAGAGAGAAAGAGAGAAAGAGAGAGAGAGAGAGAGAGAGAGAGAAGAGAAGAGAUAGGGAGAAGAAAAUGGACAGAGAAGCAAAGGAACGAAAAGCAAUGUACGAACGAGAGACGGACGGAUACACGAUGAAAAGAGAGAGACGAAGAAAGAUACCGGCUGGCAAGCAGAUGGUAGCCUCGUUUAUUGGUUUACUCGUCGGCUCGCUGCCCCUCCGGCCAUGAAACGAGACUUUAGAACGAGUGUCGUUUCUCUUUGUAGCAGAGAGAGUGACCCGGCGACCUUCGACGGAAAUCGAUGAAUGACGAGAAUGGAUUCAGUGACUCGAUCGAAGCAGGAUACCAUCGAUGUAGAACGCAUCUUUUUACCUUCCAUACAUUCAUCGAACGUUCAUUCAAGAAGGGGACGAAGAGAAGACGAGGAGAACGAUAGUGGUGGAUAUAGUAGCUGACAUUAAGAGAGUAUCUGUGUGUGUGUAUGUGUAUAAAAGAGAGUGGGAGAGAGACAGAGAGAGAGAGAGAGAGAGAGAGAGAGAGAGAAAGAGAAGUAUACGCACAGAUAUACAGACGCAGCCAUCAAAUAAUGGCGUCGUGGGGGCGGAUAGCCGUUGCCGGGUCGAUAGGAGGAAGGCCCUUGACCUGCAAAACUCCCGACUGCCGUCCCACCGUCGGCGUCGCUUUAACGAGGACCCUCGCUCAUUGGUUCCUGUAGACUUCUCCCUAGGGAAGAAAUCGUGAUUCACCUGCUUUAUUAAACGAAGACUUAGUCCAGACCUGAAGGACCUUAAUUUGCUUUAAUCCCAAUAAAUACUCGAGGGUGUUUUAAAAAGGAUUAACUUGGGUUAAAAGGUGAACGAACGGAAGACAAGAUAUGACCAAGUGACCUGGAAGUGCAAGGUGCGUUACGGCACGGUAUAUAAAACGAGCUGUUCAAGAAAGAGAAAAGGAAAGAACAUGAUGGAGAAGCCGACCUUGCUACGAUCAGCUGUGUCAUCCUUGGGCCGUUAACGCUCAGGUGGUUUCGAUCUCAGGGCCGAGCAUCAAUCAUCAUUGGUAGUGCAAGGCGUGAUGUGAUUAUUGUCACUAAGAUACUCCGCUACGAUAUAACAAUCACGAAAGUGUGCCAAGUGACAUAACAGGGUUUAUCUUUAACGGUGAAUCUUAAGCAUCAAAUAAAACAGACCUAAUAUUGUAGCCUCCCAUUAUGUUCUAUUCAUUGAGAUCCAGAUUAUGCUCUUCCUUACGAAAGAAAUAUGUUUGAAAGGGAUUUAGAUAUAAAAGAGAGAAAAAAAAGGGGAUGAAUAGAUGAAAAAAAAAAUUUAUCGAAAGUAUACAAUUUUUAUCUAAUCCGCUUACACAAAGGGAUAAUAUUGAUACAAAAUCUUAUAGAAUUUUGAUAUGUUUCAAUGCAGUUAAUGAAAAUGACACGAAUCGAAUAACACGAAUAAAUUAAAGGACAUAACGAAAACAAAGUAGAUUCGAUAUUAUUGUAAAAAAAUGAUAACACUAUACCUUACAAUUGCAAAAACGAAAUGCAUAUUUCUUUACGAAGAUAUUGAUUCACUUAUUAUCAUUUUCUUACUAAUUAGUAUUUCGUUUCUUAUCAAUGACAUUUAAAUAUAAUUUAAAAGAAUUAAGAAUAAGAGGCAAAUAUGCAUACGCAUAAAAUAACAGAUUAAUGCUGCCAUUGUAAGACAAUUAAGUUAACGCAAUAUAAUACAAUACAUUUCCAUUCUAUAUUAACAACAAAGAUAUUCUCGAAGAUUUUAGAAUCUGAUUUCAGAAGCGAGUUUAAUAACAGCGAACUCCCUCCCUGCACCACGGCAGGAUGACUCGACGAAGUCAAAGUCUGUUUUCGAAUGACUUGGCACUACGAAGAGAAGAUCUGGGCUAGUGAGAUCGCCAAUUUCAGUUGCUGCCAAUAACAUCUUUGGCUGAGAAUCGAUAUCGAGAUAGAUAGUAUGUGUAAUGCAACUGUGAUCGAUGCAAUAAGAAAUAAUUACCUCAGCAGAAAUAUUACAAUUUUCUUUAUAAUCGUAAGUUUUUAUUAGGAUAUUGAAGUUAACAAAAAUAACAUUUCAAUCAUAUGAUAUUAAUUUUAUCAUAAAAGUCGAGAUCUCUUAACGAAAAUUCUUGAGAUUAAUUUAUAAACAUUUGGUGAACGAUGAAGAGACGGAAGGAGGGAUAUCGUCGUGAGUCACAAUUCGAAGAUAAUCUCGAAAUAUAUUUUAUAUUUUCUUACGCGAUGCAAACGUUACGAGCCAGUUUUUAUAUUGUAUUAAUGUAAUGCAUUUUUAGGUUAAUGGACGAUGAUUCCUGAUCGAACACUGGGCCAACACAGAAGUCAAAAACCGGCACGUAAACGUAUACGUUUAAUAUUAUACAUAUAUGUCAUAAAUUAUAAAUUGAAAAUAACGUGCGAAGCGAAAAGACGAUGAUACAAAUAUUUAUUUUGUUUUUGUUAAAUGUAACAAACGAUUUGUGCCGUUUAUAACAAAGGCCCAGUUAAUGCUCUACAUCUACCCUGUAGAUCCGAAUUUGUUUGAUAAGAGGCGACAAAUUCGGUUCUAGAGAGGUUUGUGUGGUGCAUACAGUGCUACAGUGGUCUCUAUUCAACGAAAUUUUAAAAAAAGACUUCCUUUUCUUUUUGUUGUUGUUUUAUAUAUAUAUAUAUAUAUAUAUAUAUAUAUAUAUAUAUACGUAUAUAUUAAUUUUCUUGACUAAUGAUUCGAUGUUAUUCGGUUUUAAUCGACAAUGACAUUAUUAUGAUAAAAUACUGCGAUUUAUCUAUUCCAAAAAAAAAAAAAUUAUAUUUAUGAAUUUAACGAGCGUACAUCAUUUUCAAUGUUAAUAUACUAAAGCUACAAAUUUAUAUACGUCGAUUACAUAUAUGGAAGGUUUAUUAAGAGAGCCUAUAAAGACAAAGAUAAUCGCAACGAUAUUAUCUACAAAGAGCUAUUCUCAUUUACCGACUAGCUAAUGCGAAGUUGCAUUUAUUAACUUGUACUAAGAUAAGAUCGAUUAAAAACUUAGAUAUGCGUGGUGUACUAACAUGAGUUAGGAAAUAAUUAGAAAAAGAUGUAUAAUGAGAGAGAACAAAAAGAAAUGAAAAGUACAUCGCGGGCAGAAAGGAAAAAAGAAAUAUUAAAAGAAAGAGAAAAAGAAAAAGGAUAACAUUUCUCACGAGUAUAUUGACAACUAGAAAUAGUCGAGCAAUAAGAAUUUACAUAUAGAAUAAGUUAUGUUCGUAUCUCAACAGAUCUAAGAUCCUUGUAAAAUGACUUGUUUCAUGAAUCAUUUGCAUUCGUUUCGAAGCAUUUUCAGUAUGUGAAAGCUUCCAAUAGUUAGGAGAAAUGUCCCGAAGGUAUAGGAAUGAAUUAUCGUCAUUAAUUUCGUGGUCUUGGUGCACCCAUCUCAGGAUGCUGUCGAUGGUGAACUGUGUUAUGACUAGCGACCCGUUGCACAUCCACGCUUAGAUGCAUGGCAUUAGCUCGCACAUUCCUAUCGCAAUUUCUACAGGACGAUUCAAAAUCAAAUUAAUACCUUUAAAAUACUUUCAUAAGGGUUAAAACGAGAGAAAAUUUAUAUCGCUCUAUGUAAAUUAAUUAUAUAAAACUUAUAGAAUAUUUUUAAUAUCCAAAAUUUUAAUGGACGUUCGAUCAAACGAUAUUUACUCAAAUCUAACAAUAUCAAAAUAUUUUGUAUAAUCUUUAUAACAAACGUUUAUACAAUUUUCUUCCUUUAAUUUGUUUUGUAUCAAUCGAUGAAAGAUAAAUGCGGAAAAAAUUUAUAUACAUAUAUAUAUAUAUAUAAUUUAUUGUAACUUUAAAGUUAGAGAGAUUAAGAGAGAGAGAGAGAGAGAGAGAGAGAGAGAGAGAGAGAGAGAGAGAGAGAGAGAGAGAAGGGGGAGGGAGAGAGGGAGAAUAUUCAGACAGGAUAUUACGAUAGAUGGGUAUAAUUAAGAAAUUUUACGUCAAUGAUACGAAAGGUACAGGAUCUAAGCAUCCACGGCUUCAUCUUUCCCUUCAUCAUCAUCAUCUUCUUCUUCUUCUUCUUCUUCUUCUUCUUCUUCUUCUUCUUCCUCUUCCGUUACGUAUGUAUAUCUUCGUUUUCUAGAUACAAGCACGUGAAUUCUUGAAUCCUUCUGUAACGGUGAAGGUACGUCCAUUAAUCUUUGAUCGUACUCAUAUUAAAGUGACAUGCGGUGGUUAUGCAACGCCUAGUACCUACCUAAGUGCUAAUGAAGUGCAUACACAGGCAUAAUUACCGUAUGAGUGGACUGCCCACUUUUCACGCGGCGCAUAAUCUAUCGGACAAAAAGAAAAAAAAAAGAGAAAGAAAGAAAGAAAGAAAGAAGAAAAAAGAAUAAUAAAAAAAAAAGUAAAAAAGAAAGAAGAAAGAAAGAAAGAAAAAAAGAAAGAACGUGAGAGAGAGAGAGAGAGAGAGAGAGAGAGAGAGAGAGAGAAAGAAAAACGAUUUCACAAUGAUCGACGAAAAAAAAUAAUCAUCGGCACGAGUGCGUUCACUUAUAAACAGGACGAAAGUUAAAUAAAAAUAAAACGAUUUUUUCCUUUUUUUUUUUUUUUUUUUUUUUUUUAUUCAUUCUUAUGCGUACUUGCGAAUAAAUAACUACUAAACGUAUGCAUAUAUGUAUAUGUAUAUUUACUUAGGGCAUCUAUGUAUAUGAAACUUAUCAUUCUCGUUCGUAUAAUUUCCUUCGACACAUUCAUGAAAAUGAAUAUUUAUGAAGUUCCUGUUUCGAAAUUCUAGGAAGUUUUCAGUCGAUACUGAACCAAGAGAGGAAUUCAUUAGCUUGUAGGUAUACGUUUUUCCAAACGAGUUAAUAAUUCAAGAUACAUAAGCAAGCAGGAAGACCGAUAAAGAUAAAACGUUAAAUCAAGAACGAAUUGUUUUACGCGAUUCUUUUAACGGUUUCAAAGUAUAACAUUUACUUUUAAGAAUAAUUGAAAAUACUUUGGUUGAGUAAUAAUAAAUUUUUAAUUGAAAAAUUAUAUUACAAGCUUUAAGAUAAUUGAAAAAAAAAAAGGAAUUAACAAGGUGAUAUUGACAGAAUCGAUCGAUAGACACGAUCCAAAGUCAAUCGUCUUAUUUACAAAUCGAGUUCCGAAGGACUCGCAUAAUCUCGAUGAGAAUAAAUAUAUAGUAAGCAAAAAUACUUUAUAUAGGUAUAUAGGUAAGUAUAUAGAUAGUAUAUACGUACACGCUGUCAGUUGAAAUAAUCGGUUAUAAGAAGUUAAAUAAGCAAAUGGCAAUGAAGUUAACGAGCAACCGAGCUAGCAAGCGUUUUAUUGCGAAACGAACGUAUACCGUGAGUUCUCUCAUCUCGUGAAUCCUCUUUCAUCUUCUUUUCUCGAAGAGAUGAAAUAAGUAUCGUUCGGUGGAUCUAAUCUCUCAUGACGUUUCACCGGACGUCCACGUCGGCAAACUCGCCAUGCUGGAUGCCGAGAGGCCUCACCCUCACCGAAUCAACGACGACAACAAAGACAAAAUAACGAUAACGACGACGACGACGACGAAGACGACGACGAAGACGACGACGAUGAGGAGGAUGAUGAUGAUAAUGCUGCUGCUGCUGUUAUUGCUGCUGCUGAUGCUGCUGCUGAUGCUGAUGCUGUUGGCCGAGCAAACGGAUACGCUCGGACACGUUUACGCGCGUUCAGAGAUCCUCGCUCGGCAGAGAGUCUCCAGUCUAAAUCCACAUCCGAGUGCGCGAGAAAACAUAGGAAGAUUAAUGAUUUGCGUGACACGAGCUUGAUAUAUGCCCCUUGUUAGAAAGACUUCGAGGAGAGAAGUGUUCGGGAAACUGGAUCAAACUUUGUGGUGUGAUGGAUUGAGAACUCGUGGAUAGAAUAUCGUCAAAGUUAUAGUGUGCCAUACAGGUUCAUUUAUUGUGCCUUCGUUAGGUACGUCGAUCUUCAGCGAUCGUUGCUGAUCUUCUUCAGCUUUUGUUAAGUGGCACGAAGUUCGAAACUAUUAUUAUCCGUUGUUGUCUAAUCUUCGUUAAUUAUUUUCAUUUUUU